GCCUUCGUGAUGUAGUGGUUAGCAUGCUCGACGCGUAAUCGAGAGGUCCGUGGUUCGAUUCCCGGCGAAGGCG
RNAcentral lists this transfer RNA (73 nucleotides) under Stegodyphus mimosarum. RNAcentral's name for it is "tRNA-Thr for anticodon CGU". It matches the Rfam family "tRNA". From Rfam's summary of the family: Transfer RNA (tRNA) molecules are approximately 80 nucleotides in length. Their secondary structure includes four short double-helical elements and three loops (D, anti-codon, and T loops). Further hydrogen bonds mediate the characteristic L-shaped molecular structure. tRNAs have two regions of fundamental functional importance: the anti-codon, which is responsible for specific mRNA codon recognition, and the 3' end, to which the tRNAs corresponding amino acid is attached (by aminoacyl-tRNA synthetases). tRNAs cope with the degeneracy of the genetic code in two manners: having more than one tRNA (with a specific anti-codon) for a particular amino acid; and 'wobble' base-pairing, i.e. permitting non-standard base-pairing at the 3rd anti-codon position. The record is from Rfam by way of RNAcentral. Lineage: Eukaryota; Metazoa; Arthropoda; Arachnida; Araneae; Eresidae.